This 911-nucleotide long non-coding RNA is filed under the name Calidris pugnax (ruff). RNAcentral describes it as "lncRNA (ENSCPUG00000001779.1)". The record is from RNAcentral. Lineage: Eukaryota; Metazoa; Chordata; Aves; Charadriiformes; Scolopacidae.
UGUGCUGUAACAUGGAGGGAAGGGAGCCCUCAUUGCUCCUCAAGUUGGCUUGUACAGGUUAGCAACGUUAACCCCAUUGCACAGCACACUACCUUGUCAUCUUCCUCCCUGAAGCAGGAGAAGGAGGUGCUGAAGGGCAUCCAGACCACCAUCGUGCAGGUGCAAGGGAACUAUGAACAGCUCAACACCGUCAUGGAGACCCUCCUGCACGACAGUCAGCAGCAGCAGAAGGAUACUGAUAAGGCAGACAAAACCACCCUGGCCGGCAAAGUCAACCGCAGCGAGUUUGACACCAGGAUGGAGCGGCUGACUGAGACAGUCAAGGAGAUGCUGAGCCGGCAGAUGGACCAGGAGAAGGUCCAGCAACAGCUUAGUGAAGAGGUGGCCUCCAAGGUGAGGGCUGGCUCAUCUCUGCCACACCAAACUGGCACCUUUGGGGCUUGGCAUCCCUUUGAGGGUCCUCUGCUGUCCCACCUGGGGACCGCAAUGUCCCAUCUCAGGGCAGCUGGCUGAGGGUAUGCACCCAUCCACAGCUGGAUCACACGGAGCUGGGGGCUUUCCGGAAACAGCUGGAGGGGCACUGGAAGAACAUCCAGAAGCAGCUCCAGAAGGAGUCACGAGCAGAGGCUGAUGACGCAGCUGGGACUAAGAGGUGAGUGCGAUGGGGACAGUGUCAGCUUUGGGGACACCUCGCUGCUGCCUGUCUGUGUCCCCUCCAGAAGCUCACCCAGCCCUUUUCUCCCCCCUCCAGCCAGCUGACCCAUCACCACUGCUUGUCCUGCGACCGACCCCGUGACAUGCGGGUGCCUGGCCCGUGAGUAGCACCCAGCACCGUUGGUGGGAUGGGGGGUGAUGGAUGCUGGGGGGUGGGUGGGGGGGUGGGUACCUGGGUGGUCCAACGCUGCCAAGCC